UUCCGGUUAGCGUUGUGAAGCAUAAACGAAAUAAACACGGAAUACGUUGAUACACACCGAAAGACCUACCGUUAUUGAUCACCAGCCCAGAGAGUCAAAAUGUUUAUUUUACACAACGUUUUCACUAAACAGCAAACAUCUUACAUGGCAUUCAACAUGAUCGUCAUCUGAGGAGCAACAGCCAGACUCAGAAAGACUUCAAGAAACCUUCCUACAUUAUCAGGACAAAGAAACCGUCCUACAUGAUCAGGACAAAGAAACCUUCCUAUAUUAUCAGGACAGAGAAACCGUCCUACAUGAUCAGGACAAAGAAACCUUCCUACAUGAUCAGGACAGAGAAACCUUCAUACAUUAUCAAGAAAGAGAAACCUUCCUACAUGAUCAGGACAGAGAAACCUUCAUACAUUAUCAAGAAAGAGAAACCUUCGUACGUGAUCAGGACAAAGAAACCUUCCUACAUUAUCAGGUACUAAAGGCAACAUGGUCCUGAGAGUGUUUGUCCCACCACCAGUGUAACAGGUUGGAACCAAUAUGGCUGAAUAUCUCUGCCAGGCGACCAAAAGAACAAGAGACCUGAACCCUUUGUUCUGACUAGGGGAUAAUUGCCUCUACUCCCUGGCAAUCACCAUCAUGAAUGGGCGGGCUCUGGAGCGGAAUACAUUAUGUUUUGUUGUUGUUUACAUAAAUUCAUAUUGAAAAUUGAUACCUGGCAGUGCUAGCUGUGCCACUAGAG
Molecule: long non-coding RNA, 733 nt
Organism: Coregonus clupeaformis (lake whitefish)
Lineage: Eukaryota; Metazoa; Chordata; Actinopteri; Salmoniformes; Salmonidae
Exons: 4
Source: RefSeq, a predicted model, not a curated record